UAGGGAAUCUUCGGCAAUGGGGGCAACCCUGACCGAGCAACGCCGCGUGAGUGAAGAAGGUUUUCGGAUCGUACAGCUCUGUUGUAAGAGAAGAACGUGUGUGAGAGUGGAAAGUUCACACAGUGACGGUAACUUACCAGAAAGGGACGGCUAACUACGUGCCAGCAGCCGCGGUAAUACGUAGGUCCCGAGCGUUGUCCGGAUUUAUUGGGCGUAAAGCGAGCGCAGGCGGUUUAAUAAGUCUGAAGUUAAAGGCAGUGGCUUAACCAUUGUUCGCUUUGGAAACUGUUAAACUUGAGUGCAGAAGGGGAGAGUGGAAUUCCAUGUGUAGCGGUGAAAUGCGUAGAUAUAUGGAGGAACACCGGUGGCGAAAGCGGCUCUCUGGUCUGUAACUGACGCUGAGGCUCGAAAGCGUGGGGAGCAAACAGG
This 429-nucleotide ribosomal RNA is filed under the name bacterium. RNAcentral describes it as "partial 16S ribosomal RNA". It matches the Rfam family "Bacterial small subunit ribosomal RNA", at positions 355 to 776 of the family's 1533-position model. The record is from RNAcentral.